Molecule: long non-coding RNA, 898 nt
Organism: Suricata suricatta (meerkat)
Lineage: Eukaryota; Metazoa; Chordata; Mammalia; Carnivora; Herpestidae
Exons: 3
Source: RefSeq, a predicted model, not a curated record
UGAUUGUCCUUUAAACACGCUGGGGUAGCACAGGGACGUGCAAAGUAUGGGAGUUCCAGACCUGAAGUCAGUAGGACCACGUACAGAUGGGAAAGAUGUGGCCCAGAAAAGGGCUGUGACUUGUUGCAAGUCUAAUUUCUCAGGGUUUAAUAGGGGCUCAUGAUCUGAAUGUGGCCGCGUGUCCCUCCUCUGCCCCCAGCAUGGGUCCAGUCGGUCCAGUCCCCACGGUGGAUCGCCUGGGCCAGGGUCUGUUGCCGCUGCUCUGGGCCCAGAUUCACUCAUGCCCCCCUGCCUGUCCUUCCCAGAGACGCCACCAGAGGGCGCCUGUGAGCACUGGAGUCAGAUCCCCCUCCCCCUCCCUCCACCGGCGCUUUGCCCCCAUCCUCUGCCUUCUAAGGGCCUCCAGAACUUCCACCUCCCUGAGGGAAAAGCCCAAGUCCUCCCCCAGGCCCACAAAGUCAUGCAUCCCCUCCCUUUCCUCCCCUCCACCCUCUCUCCCCUUUCCCCACUCUGCUCUAGCCACAAAGCCUUGCUUUUCCUCCAAUAUGCCAGCUAGCUCCCGCCUCGAUGAUCAGAAACAGCCUGUCCACGAAUGAACCCACCCCACCUUGCAGCACUGUGGAAGCUGAUUUCAGGGGCCCCUCCCCAGGCUUGAGGUCUGUGACUCUGAAAAAGAUCCACCCCUUCCUCGUCCAGCCUGCAGUCAACGAGCACUUUAACACUGGAGCGUCGUCAGUGUACGGCAAAGGAUCUGCUGAAACACUGGCAUCAUAAACCCACUUCUCAGAUGACAGCUUGAGGUUGAGCAAGCCAAAGGCUCUUGCCGAAGAUCCCAUGGUGGCAUCUGAGCCGAGAAUGGGGUCCUGGGGCGGGGGAGGGGCAUCAAGGCAAAAAAGAA